CAGCAUGUCGCGGUGAAUACGUUCCCGGGUCUUGUACACACCGCCCGUCACACCAUGGGAGUGGGUUUUACCAGAAGUAGUUAGCCUAACCGCAAGGAGGGCGAUUACCACGGUAGGUCUCAUGACUGGGGUGAAGUCGUAACAAGGUAGCCGUACCGGAAGGUGCGGCUGGAUCACCUCCUUUC
This 185-nucleotide ribosomal RNA is filed under the name Burkholderiaceae bacterium. RNAcentral describes it as "partial 16S ribosomal RNA". It matches the Rfam family "Bacterial small subunit ribosomal RNA", at positions 1350 to 1533 of the family's 1533-position model. The record is from RNAcentral. Lineage: Bacteria; Pseudomonadati; Pseudomonadota; Betaproteobacteria; Burkholderiales; Burkholderiaceae.